This 429-nucleotide ribosomal RNA is filed under the name Chloroflexota bacterium. Its description in RNAcentral is "Chloroflexi bacterium partial 16S ribosomal RNA". It matches the Rfam family "Bacterial small subunit ribosomal RNA", at positions 355 to 776 of the family's 1533-position model. The record is from RNAcentral. Lineage: Bacteria; Bacillati; Chloroflexota.
UGGGGAAUAUUGCACAAUGGGCGCAAGCCUGAUGCAGCCAUGCCGCGUGUAUGAAGAAGGCCUUCGGGUUGUAAAGUACUUUCAGCGGGGAGGAAGGGAGUAAAGUUAAUACCUUUGCACAUUGACGUUACCCGCAGAAGAAGCACCGGCUAACUCCGUGCCAGCAGCCGCGGUAAUACGGAGGGUGCAAGCGUUAAUCGGAAUUACUGGGCGUAAAGCGCACGCAGGCGGUUUGUUAAGUCAGAUGUGAAAUCCCCGGGCUCAACCCGGGAAUUGCAUCUGAUACUGGUCAGCUAGAGUCUUGUAGAGGGGGGUAGAAUUCCAUGUGUAGCGGUGAAAUGCGUAGAGAUGUGGAGGAAUACCGGUGGCGAAGGCGGCCCCCUGGACAAAGACUGACGCUCAGGUGCGAAAGCGUGGGGAGCAAACAGG